Molecule: RNA transcript, 3314 nt
Organism: Triticum dicoccoides
Lineage: Eukaryota; Viridiplantae; Streptophyta; Magnoliopsida; Poales; Poaceae
Exons: 3
Source: RefSeq, a predicted model, not a curated record
ACCACCACCACCACCACCACCAUUCCCUUGCCCGCCACCACCAUUCUCUUCUGGUUGCGUGGUCUUGCCCUUCCUGCACCUUCCACAUGCUCUUCAUGGCCGCCGCCUGGCCCGCCUCAGGAAACUUGCACCAUCACGCGACAUGUUGUGGAUCCAUUCGAGGGGUAGACGGAGCAGGGCGACGGUUCUUGCCGGCGCCAAGGAGGGCAAACAGGAGAGCGUCCCGGAGACAUAUAAUUCUGUCGAUGCUGCCGCAUCUGAGAGCGGCAAGAACCAUGAUCUUGAGGUAAUUGAUUGAUGGUGGUCGAGAGCGGCAGUUGGCCCAAAGGAAUUUUUCACGUUCUUCUUGGUUCUUUGGCGCAGGAACCUUCGCCUAAGUCGGACGAGGUCGCGGCGGUGUCUCGCAACACGACAUUCAUCGCCGCGGGAGUUUACGAUGGCGCCGGCUCUGAGCCUGUUCUUGGCGCAUCGCCGUCCUCGGUGUCGUCGCCCGCGGUGGUCACUCAUGAAGACCAUCUGGAGAGAAGCAGCACAAGGUGAGUUACUUAGCAUACAACGUGUGAUGCAUUUUUUCUGGUUUAUAGGUGUGUGUGCGUUCUGCUCUGAUGGUAUUUUUUUGAGUUGUUUCUGUUCUUCAGUGAUGGUUAGCGAUAUGGUUCGGGAUUCCGAAAAUAGUUGCAUACCGGGCCUGGCAAAUGAAAUUUGGGGGUCACACGCGGCCUUGGAAUCCUUUAUCUGCACUUCGUUUUUGUUCGACACAGCCCUGAACAUAUCACUGUUAUGUCUCCUUGUGCCUGGUGAUUUAUGUAUAACUGAAAUUCUGAAUGAACUCAAGUUGUCAUAUGGGAGUGCUUGCAAUAUUCACAGGUUGCAGUUUCUUCAAUGCUAAAUGUUUAGUUUCCUCGGACACCAGAUUGCCUACACUUUAAUGAAGUCGAGCCAGCAACCGUCGCCCAUCUACUACUCCUAUAAAAGCACGAGAGGGCGGAGAACCAAAUUGUCUCAUCCAUCGAACCAUAUGAUCUGAUGGUCUAAAUCACACCAACAUAUCAAACGCAUUUUACACUUUAAUUACCCACCCUGCCACUCCUAAACUACUCUGCCUUUUCUGAGAAAAACUGCUUAGACCGAUUCCACGCACAUCUCAAUUGCGUUUAACACCGAGUUUCAAAAAAUGCGUUUAGCACAGAACUUAUCCCACUCCACGUAUCACCUCCUUCUCCCACGUUCGCACACACAGGAGCGCUCCAUCCCCAACCUCCCUCCUAUCCCGCUCGGCACCUCACCUCCCCGUCCCCGCAUCCCCGACGCCGAGCCGCACUCCCCGGCGCCCGCAUCGCCGCCCCUCGCAUGCCACCCGCCCCGCACGCCGCCCCUUGCUCCUGGCCCUGACUGGCCCGCCCGCAACUCGCGGCUACCCUCCUUGCCACCCCUCGCUUUUUGCCCUGUCACCUCUCUCUCUUGCAGCCCGUUUGUCCCGCCUGCACAACCCACCAUGCCCGUAGGAGCCUCUCCACGAAGUCGACCCUCAGCCCGCGUCAUCGACGCGAAAUCUCCCACGCCCAUUGCUCGCACUAGACCAAGACGAGGAUGAAGUCCAUAAGUGGCUGGCGUAAGGAGAGUAACAAGUGUGUUUAUCACGGACCCGAUGGGCAAGCAACUGACUCUAUCUCUCAAGCAAUUUAUUCAUAUGUGUGAUUGGAGUGGCGGUAACCAUUUGUUCUCCGGCACUACUAUCUGACAAGUACUCAAUAUUAUACUAAUCGUUAUUGCUAUAGAAGUGUUCAUCCAUGAAUAAUGAGACUCCACAUGGUCCUGGAACGGCUCUCAUACAUGGGGUUCGGGCUACUUCCACCAGUGCUCUACGGGUUGUCGUUCCACGAGAGCAACAAAAGGAGACCAACAUGGUGGACAACAUCGGUCCUUCGCUUGCCUGAUCUCUCUUCUAGCGCUCGGAAAGGUGCAUGUCCACAUAAGAUCCAUGCCAUACUUCAAGACCCUCAGUACUACCUGACCAUUGUUGUGAUCUUGUUUGGGAUGUCGUAUAUCGUUGGCGUGCUGAUCACUUUGGUGCCAUCGAGCAAGGUGGUGCAUCAGCUCUUCAUGCUUCUCCAGGUCAGUUGUUGUCUCAUUUAGGUGGCGCACAGACGUCUGUCUCGGCCUUGUUCUGAAGUCUUAAGUUCCUCGGAGCACUGAUGGUAUAAAAAGUUAAGACACAAGUUCUGAGGGCUGAGAAGAGGGAUGCCAGAAACAUCUACAUGUUCAGCAUCAUGGGCAAGACGUUGACCACCAAGGAGAACAAAUGUCUCCUGCGUCAAGAUGGAGCGCAAAGUGCUCGAUCAGUUGGUCUAGUCAGGUAGAAUCACGCUCUUCGUGUUCCAGUACACCUGCUCCCUCUAUUAGUGUUUAUGUUUGCUCUAAUUAUAUAAGGUCAACCGUUGGUGUUUAAGCAAUCAAACUUCCAAAUAUCAUCUCUAUUAAAAACACAUUUCAUUCCUUCGUUUCACUGCUAUUUGUAAUGGUUUAAUUCCUAUUUGUGGACACACUCUAAUUUGACUCUUGACUUUAUUAUCAUUUUUUCCUUUAUGUAACUACUAAAACUUCAUGUGUUUCCUUCGGAAAUUAUAUGUUGUGUUUCUACUCAGUGUGAGGUCAUUUACUGAUUGUUUAGUGAUUCUACCUAAUUGUGAACGAGGGUGAUAUUGACAAAAGCAUCUUCCGUAUGCAAUAGCUUUUGUAUUGCUGAAAAUAGGUGGUGUUAGCUGUGCGACUAUUGACAUGUUCACUGGAUCUAAAAUUGGAAGCCUGUUGUUAUAUGACUAUAUAUGAUUUAGUUGAGUUGACAUGACACCAGAAGAUGACUAUAUGAUUCAGCUUGGCCAACAUGACGCCAUUAGAAUUGCUUCUAAUCUUUUUGUUAGCUUUUUCCAUGGAAAUAGCUAUGUGCUGCUUCAAUGUGUACUUCAGUUGUGCAUUACAGAUUAAAUAAGAAACUUGGGCUUCCAGCACUCUAGAAUUCUAGGUUUGGGUUAUCUUAGGUUGCCGAUGGCUAUACUGAAAAUGUGUAAUUAGAUAUGACACGUACAUAAGAACUCUGCAACAUUCUUGUAUUACAAAUUAGGAUCAAGAGUGAUACCGAAGAAGUGAAGAUGCAAGUCUCUGUUUCCACGAAGAUCACUCCUUUGGACUUGUAUUGUUUCCUUUUAUCGAAGGGGCUUGAUACAAGACACUUGGAGUAUUACUUUUUUACUUUUAACAGUUGGUGUUACCUCAUUCUUUUUUACUAAACCACAUAAGUACUUCCGGUUAAUGUA